Molecule: ribosomal RNA, 253 nt
Filed under: uncultured bacterium
Lineage: Bacteria
Description: partial 16S ribosomal RNA
Rfam family: Bacterial small subunit ribosomal RNA
Source: RNAcentral
UACGUAGGGUGCAAGCGUUGUCCGGAAUUAUUGGGCGUAAAGAGCUCGUAGGCGGCUUGUCACGUCGCCUGUGAAAACUCGGGGCUCAACCCCGAGCCUGCAGUCGAUACGGGCAAACUAGAGUGCUGUAGGGGAGACUGGAAUUCCUGGUGUAGCGGUGAAAUGCGCAGAUAUCAGGAGGAACACCGGUGGCGAAGGCGGGUCUCUGGGCAGUAACUGACGCUGAGGAGCGAAAGCAUGGGGAGCGAACAGG